GACGAACGCUGGCGGCGUGCUUAACACAUGCAAGUCGAACGGAAAGGCCCUGCUUUUGUGGGGUGCUCGAGUGGCGAACGGGUGAGUAACACGUGAGUAACCUGCCCUUGACUUUGGGAUAACUUCAGGAAACUGGGGCUAAUACCGGAUAGGAGCUCCUGCUGCAUGGUGGGGGUUGGAAAGUUUCGGCGGUUGGGGAUGGACUCGCGGCUUAUCAGCUUGUUGGUGGGGUAGUGGCUUACCAAGGCUUUGACGGGUAGCCGGCCUGAGAGGGUGACCGGCCACAUUGGGACUGAGGUAGGGCCCAGACUCCUACGGGAGGCAGCAGUGGGGAGUAUUGCACAAUGGGCGGAAGCCUGAUGCAGCAACGCCGCGUGCGGGAUGACGGCCUUCGGGUUGUAAACCGCUUUCGCCUGUGACGAAGCGUGAGUGACGGUAAUGGGUAAAGAAGCACCGGCUAACUACGUG
Molecule: ribosomal RNA, 468 nt
Filed under: uncultured bacterium
Lineage: Bacteria
Description: partial 16S ribosomal RNA
Rfam family: Bacterial small subunit ribosomal RNA
Source: RNAcentral